This 238-nucleotide ribosomal RNA is filed under the name uncultured bacterium. Its description in RNAcentral is "partial 16S ribosomal RNA". It matches the Rfam family "Bacterial small subunit ribosomal RNA", at positions 27 to 255 of the family's 1533-position model. The record is from RNAcentral.
GAAUGAACGCUGGCGGCGCGCCUAAUACAUGCAAGUCGAGCGAGAAGACGUAGCAAUACGUUUGUAAAGCGGCGAACGGGUGAGGAAUACAUGGGUAACCUACCCUCGACGUGGGGAAUAACUAGCCGAAAGGUUAGCUAAUACCGCGUACGCUUCUUGGACUUCGGUUCAGGGAGGAAAGCGAUACCGUGGGUAUCGCGCUCUUGGAUGGGCUCAUGUCCUAUCAGCUUGUUGGUGA